CGCAUCUGUGCAUGCAGCAUAUCAAUAAGCGGAGGAAAAGAAACUAACAAGGAUUCCCCUAGUAACGGCGAGUGAAGCGGGAAGAGCUCAAAUUUGAAAUCUUAAAGGGUUUCCCUUUACGAAUUGUAGUUUAAAGAAGUGUUUUCUGUUGAGGUUUUGGUAAAAGUUCUUUGGAAUAGGACAUCAUAGAGGGUGAGAAUCCCGUAUUUGACCUUUACUUUCAACUUUGUGAUACACUUUCAAAGAGUCGGAUUGUUUGGGAAUGCAGUCCAAAAUGGGUGGUAAAUUUCAUCUAAAGCUAAAUAUUGGCGAGAGACCGAUAGCGAACAAGUACCGUGAGGGAAAGAUGAAAAGAACUUUGAAAAGAGAGUUAAACAGUACGUGAAAUUGUCAAAAGGGAAGCGUUUGACACCAGUGUUGUUUUUCUGAAAAUCAAUUAAAGAACUGUUUAUGCUAAGCUGUUUAGACUUUAUCAGCUAACUGUUUAGUUUUGAGCUUUUCUUUAAUGCACUUUUCAGUUAACAAGUCAACAUCAAUUUCUUUUGCUGUAAAAAAGCUUGAGGAAGGUGGCUUGAGAUUCGUCUUAAGUGUUUAUAGCCUCUUGCCUAUGCAGUCGGAGAGAUUGAGGUCUGCAGCGUAGAUCCUUCGGGGCUAAAUGCAUUUGUGCUAAGUUAUAGCAUUUUAUAGACAACUUGUUGACUAUGAUUUGUCUUGUAGCUUACUCGCUUAUGUUAUUUUACCUACGCUUAGGAUGUUGAGCGCAUGUCUCUCUC
This 773-nucleotide ribosomal RNA is filed under the name uncultured Neocallimastigales. RNAcentral's name for it is "partial large subunit ribosomal RNA". It matches the Rfam family "Eukaryotic large subunit ribosomal RNA", at positions 26 to 641 of the family's 3401-position model. The record is from RNAcentral. Lineage: Eukaryota; Fungi; Neocallimastigomycota; Neocallimastigomycetes; Neocallimastigales.